GCAGUGCGGGGCUGGAGCAUCGAUCCCCAGGGGCCGGAGAGGGACCCGCAGUGGGGGCACACAGGGAGCUGUGUGCGGGAAAAAUGAAUAAAGAACCCACGCCCACUGAGCAAACAACAACAAAACCCCGGGUUGGAAGGGAAAUGGGCUGGUUUUGUUACAUCUGAGCGGCUCUGACCAGAUGUUUGAAGCCACGGAAGCACUGGGUGAUAGUUCUCCUUUUUAUGCAAAAAAUAAAACAAAACAAAAUCUAAAACAAAACAGAACAAACAAACAAA
Molecule: long non-coding RNA, 278 nt
Organism: Passer montanus (Eurasian tree sparrow)
Lineage: Eukaryota; Metazoa; Chordata; Aves; Passeriformes; Passeridae
Exons: 2
Source: RefSeq, a predicted model, not a curated record